Hevea brasiliensis (rubber tree) is the source of this 1177-nucleotide RNA transcript. RefSeq lists it as uncharacterized. Lineage: Eukaryota; Viridiplantae; Streptophyta; Magnoliopsida; Malpighiales; Euphorbiaceae. The record is from RefSeq and is a predicted model, not a curated record. The transcript has 6 exons.
AAGAAAACAGAGUUAAUCAUUUAAACCCUACGUGGCCUUGAAUGAAUCUAACACAAAUUUACAAAAUCUAAUACAGUCCUCACUAAGGUCUCUGCAACAUUCAUUCAUGCCAAAACUUCUCAUUUUUCAUCCACCAUGAAUCUUUCCACCACUUCUCUCGUCAAAAUCUCUCCUUUCUUUAUCAGAACCACCUAUUUGUCACCAAUUUCCAGAAGGGUUUCUGGAUGUCAUCCUUCUGGUGUUAGAUUUCCACUGACCAUCACCAAAUGUUCUAGAGCUGAUGUUCCUUUAGCAUCACAAGCUGCACAGACUUCUACUUCUUCUUCUUCUUCUUCUUCUUCUUCUUCUUCUCCCGUAAUUGCUUCAAAGAUACAGAGUUUGCUGGCUGUGGAGGAGGACAUAGAGAAGGUUAUUUAUAGAUGCCGGUUCUUGGCUAUUCUUGGGGUUUUUGGUUCCUUGAUUGGAUCAAUUCUGUGUUUUGUGAAGGGAUGUACUUAUGUUGUGUCAUCUUUCAUGGAAUACUUUGUGAAUCGUGGUAAAGUGAUCAUAUUGCUGGUAGAGGCCAUAGAUGUCUAUCUUUUAGGAACAGUUAUGCUGGUGUUUGGAAUGGGUCUCUAUGAGCUUUUUAUUAGCAAUCUUGACACUGCUAAACUGUUGUCAGGGAAAAGAGUACCUCAUAGAUCAAAUUUAUUUGGAUUAUUCACCUUAAAGGAACGGCCAAGAUGGUUAGAAAUAAAAACUGUGAAUGAGCUGAAAACUAAACUAGGCCAUGUCAUUGUGAUGCUGCUUCUGAUUGGUUUCUUUGAAAAAAGUAAGACAGCAGUUAUACACUCUCCCAUGGAUUUACUUUGCUUCUCAGCUUCUGUUCUCCUUUGCUCUGGUUGCCUCUACUUAUUAUCCAAGCUUAGUGACUCAAAAUGAAUUAACCUUUGAUCACACAUCCUUUUAGAAUAUCGUUGUGGGAAAUUGACAAUGAUCAUGUAUAUAUAUAUAUAUAUGAGUUAUGGACUGUUGUUAGAAGUAAAUGUGCCGGAAAUAUGUCACGAGAAAUGUGUGAGAGGAAAUAUGUGCACUAAGUGCAUUGAAUAAUUCCUCUAUAGCUUUUAUAGAUAGUAGCAUGGUAACUGAUAAUUAAUAGCUAAUAAUUGCUGUUAAUAGUAGAAGUCUCUCUGUUAAA